This 439-nucleotide ribosomal RNA is filed under the name uncultured bacterium. Its description in RNAcentral is "partial 16S ribosomal RNA". It matches the Rfam family "Bacterial small subunit ribosomal RNA", at positions 338 to 795 of the family's 1533-position model. The record is from RNAcentral.
CCUACGGGUGGCAGCAGUGAGGGAUAUUGGUCAAUGGGGGAAACCCUGAACCAGCAACGCCGCGUGAGGGAAGACGGUUUUCGGAUUGUAAACCUCUGUCCUCUGUGAAGAUAAUGACGGUAGCAGAGGAGGAAGCUCCGGCUAACUACGUGCCAGCAGCCGCGGUAAUACGUAGGGAGCAAGCGUUGUCCGGAUUUAUUGGGUUUAAGGGGUGCGUAGGCGGAGCGUUAAGUCAGUGGUCAAAUUGAGGGGCUCAACCCCUUCCCGCCAUUGAAACUGGCGCUCUUGAGUGGAAGAGAAGUAUGCGGAAUGCGUGGUGUAGCGGUGAAAUGCAUAGAUAUCACGCAGAACCCCGAUUGCGAAGGCAGCAUGCCGGCUUCCGACUGACGCUGAAGCACGAAAGCGUGGGGAUCGAACAGGAUUAGAUACCCUUGUAGUC